RNAcentral lists this microRNA precursor (178 nucleotides) under Oryza glumipatula. RNAcentral's name for it is "MIR812 microRNA precursor family". It matches the Rfam family "MIR812 microRNA precursor family". Lineage: Eukaryota; Viridiplantae; Streptophyta; Magnoliopsida; Poales; Poaceae. The record is from Rfam by way of RNAcentral.
AAAAAGACAAACACUGGGUUUCCGUUUCCAACGUUUGACUGUCCAUCUUAUAUGAAAUUUUUUUAUAAUUAGUAUUUUCAUUGUUGUUAGAUGAUAAAACAUGAUUAAUACUUUAUACGUGACUUGUCUUUUUAAUUUUUUUAUAAUUUUUUAAAACGUUGGACACGGAAAUCUAUAG